UACGGAGGUGGCGAGCGUUGUUCGGAAUUACUGGGCGUAAAGGGCGCGUAGGCGGGGCGAGAAGUCGGGUGUGAAAGCCCUCGGCUCAACCGAGGAAUGGCGCUCGAGACUCUCGUUCUUGAGUCCCGGAGAGGACGGUGGAAUUCCCGGUGUAGCGGUGAAAUGUGUAGAGAUCGGGAGGAACACCGGUGGCGAAGGCGGCCGUCUGGACGGUGACUGACGCUGAGGCGCGAAAGCGUGGGGAGCAAACGGG
RNAcentral lists this ribosomal RNA (253 nucleotides) under uncultured bacterium. Its description in RNAcentral is "partial 16S ribosomal RNA". It matches the Rfam family "Bacterial small subunit ribosomal RNA", at positions 524 to 776 of the family's 1533-position model. The record is from RNAcentral.